GACAGAGGAUGCAAGCGUUAUCCGGAAUGAUUGGGCGUAAAGCGUCUGUAGGUGGCUUUUAAGUCCGCCGUCAAAUCCCAGGCUCAACCCUGGACAGGCGGUGGAACUACCAAGCUGGGGUACGGUAGGGGCAGAGGGAAUUUCCGGUGGAGCGGUGAAAUGCGUAGAGAUCGGAAAGAACACCAACGGCGAAAGCACUCUGCUGGGCCGACACUGACACUGAGAGACGAAAGCUAGGGGAGCGAAUGGG
This 250-nucleotide ribosomal RNA is filed under the name uncultured bacterium. RNAcentral's name for it is "partial 16S ribosomal RNA". It matches the Rfam family "Bacterial small subunit ribosomal RNA", at positions 524 to 776 of the family's 1533-position model. The record is from RNAcentral.